Molecule: ribosomal RNA, 719 nt
Filed under: Streptococcus sp. HXF0009
Lineage: Bacteria; Bacillati; Bacillota; Bacilli; Lactobacillales; Streptococcaceae
Description: bacterial SSU rRNA
Rfam family: Bacterial small subunit ribosomal RNA
Source: RNAcentral
AUGCAGUGACGCUGAAGCUUGGUGCUUGCACCGAGCGGAUGAGUUGCGAACGGGUGAGUAACGCGUAGGUAACCUGCCUCUUAGCGGGGGAUAACUAUUGGAAACGAUAGCUAAUACCGCAUAAAAGUCAACAUUGCAUGAUGUUGACUUGAAAGGUGCAAAUGCAUCACUAAGAGAUGGACCUGCGUUGUAUUAGCUAGUUGGUGAGGUAACGGCUCACCAAGGCGACGAUACAUAGCCGACCUGAGAGGGUGAUCGGCCACACUGGGACUGAGACACGGCCCAGACUCCUACGGGAGGCAGCAGUAGGGAAUCUUCGGCAAUGGACGGAAGUCUGACCGAGCAACGCCGCGUGAGUGAAGAAGGUUUUCGGAUCGUAAAGCUCUGUUGUAAGAGAAGAACGAGUGUGAGAGUGGAAAGUUCACACUGUGACGGUAACUUACCAGAAAGGGACGGCUAACUACGUGCCAGCAGCCGCGGUAAUACGUAGGUCCCGAGCGUUAUCCGGAUUUAUUGGGCGUAAAGCGAGCGCAGGCGGUUAGAUAAGUCUGAAGUUAAAGGCUGUGGCUUAACCAUAGUACGCUUUGGAAACUGUUUAACUUGAGUGCAGAAGGGGAGAGUGGAAUUCCAUGUGUAGCGGUGAAAUGCGUAGAUAUAUGGAGGAACACCGGUGGCGAAAGCGGCUCUCUGGUCUGUAACUGACGCUGAGGCUCGAAAGC